This 253-nucleotide ribosomal RNA is filed under the name uncultured bacterium. RNAcentral describes it as "partial 16S ribosomal RNA". It matches the Rfam family "Bacterial small subunit ribosomal RNA", at positions 524 to 776 of the family's 1533-position model. The record is from RNAcentral.
UACGAAGGGGGCUAGCGUUGCUCGGAAUUACUGGGCGUAAAGGGCGCGUAGGCGGCACUGUUAGUCAGGCGUGAAAGUCCUGGGCUCAACCUCGGAACUGCCUUUGAUACUGGGGAUCUCGAGUCCGGGAGAGGUGAGUGGAACUGCGAGUGUAGAGGUGAAAUUCGUAGAUAUUCGCAAGAACACCAGUGGCGAAGGCGGCUCACUGGCCCGGAACUGACGCUGAGGUGCGAAAGCGUGGGGAGCAAACAGG